GGGUUGUGAGGUUAAGCGACUAAGCGUACACGGUGGAUGCCCUGGCAGUCAGAGGCGAUGAAGGACGUGCUAAUCUGCGAUAAGCGUCGGUAAGGUGAUAUGAACCGUUAUAACCGGCGAUUUCCGAAUGGGGAAACCCAGUGUGAUUCGUCACACUAUCAUUAACUGAAUCCAUAGGUUAAUGAGGCGAACCGGGGGAACUGAAACAUCUAAGUACCCCGAGGAAAAGAAAUCAACCGAGAUUCCCCCAGUAGCGGCGAGCGAACGGGGAGCAGCCCAGAGCCUGAAUCAGUGUGUGUGUUAGUGGAAGCGUCUGGAAAGGCGCGCGAUACAGGGUGACAGCCCCGUACACAAAAAUGCACAUAUUGUGAGCUCGAUGAGUAGGGCGGGACACGUGGUAUCCUGUCUGAAUAUGGGGGGCCCAUCCUCCAAGGCUAAAUACUCCUGACUGACCGAUAGUGAACCAGUACCGUGAGGGAAAGGCGAAAAGAACCCCGGCGAGGGGAGUGAAAAAGAACCUGAAACCGUGUACGUACAAGCAGUGGGAGCACGCUUAGGCGUGUGACUGCGUACCUUUUGUAUAAUGGGUCAGCGACUUAUAUUCUGUAGCAAGGUUAACCGAAUAGGGGAGCCGAAGGGAAACCGAGUCUUAACUGGGCGUUAAGUUGCAGGGUAUAGACCCGAAACCCGGUGAUCUAGCCAUGGGCAGGUUGAAGGUUGGGUAACACUAACUGGAGGACCGAACCGACUAAUGUUGAAAAAUUAGCGGAUGACUUGUGGCUGGGGGUGAAAGGCCAAUCAAACCGGGAGAUAGCUGGUUCUCCCCGAAAGCUAUUUAGGUAGCGCCUCGUGAAUUCAUCUCCGGGGGGUAGAGCACUGUUUCGGCAAGGGGGUCAUCCCGACUUACCAACCCGAUGCAAACUGCGAAUACCGGAGAAUGUUAUCACGGGAGACACACGGCGGGUGCUAACGUCCGUCGUGAAGAGGGAAACAACCCAGACCGCCAGCUAAGGUCCCAAAGUCAUGGUUAAGUGGGAAACGAUGUGGGAAGGCCCAGACAGCCAGGAUGUUGGCUUAGAAGCAGCCAUCAUUUAAAGAAAGCGUAAUAGCUCACUGGUCGAGUCGGCCUGCGCGGAAGAUGUAACGGGGCUAAACCAUGCACCGAAGCUGCGGCAGCGACGCUUAUGCGUUGUUGGGUAGGGGAGCGUUCUGUAAGCCUGCGAAGGUGUGCUGUGAGGCAUGCUGGAGGUAUCAGAAGUGCGAAUGCUGACAUAAGUAACGAUAAAGCGGGUGAAAAGCCCGCUCGCCGGAAGACCAAGGGUUCCUGUCCAACGUUAAUCGGGGCAGGGUGAGUCGACCCCUAAGGCGAGGCCGAAAGGCGUAGUCGAUGGGAAACAGGUUAAUAUUCCUGUACUUGGUGUUACUGCGAAGGGGGGACGGAGAAGGCUAUGUUGGCCGGGCGACGGUUGUCCCGGUUUAAGCGUGUAGGCUGGUUUUCCAGGCAAAUCCGGAAAAUCAAGGCUGAGGCGUGAUGACGAGGCACUACGGUGCUGAAGCAACAAAUGCCCUGCUUCCAGGAAAAGCCUCUAAGCAUCAGGUAACAUCAAAUCGUACCCCAAACCGACACAGGUGGUCAGGUAGAGAAUACCAAGGCGCUUGAGAGAACUCGGGUGAAGGAACUAGGCAAAAUGGUGCCGUAACUUCGGGAGAAGGCACGCUGAUAUGUAGGUGAAGUCCCUUGCGGAUGGAGCUGAAAUCAGUCGAAGAUACCAGCUGGCUGCAACUGUUUAUUAAAAACACAGCACUGUGCAAACACGAAAGUGGACGUAUACGGUGUGACGCCUGCCCGGUGCCGGAAGGUUAAUUGAUGGGGUCAGCGCAAGCGAAGCUCUUGAUCGAAGCCCCGGUAAACGGCGGCCGUAACUAUAACGGUCCUAAGGUAGCGAAAUUCCUUGUCGGGUAAGUUCCGACCUGCACGAAUGGCGUAAUGAUGGCCAGGCUGUCUCCACCCGAGACUCAGUGAAAUUGAACUCGCUGUGAAGAUGCAGUGUACCCGCGGCAAGACGGAAAGACCCCGUGAACCUUUACUAUAGCUUGACACUGAACAUUGAGCCUUGAUGUGUAGGAUAGGUGGGAGGCUUUGAAGUGUGGACGCCAGUCUGCAUGGAGCCGGCCUUGAAAUACCACCCUUUAAUGUUUGAUGUUCUAACGUGGACCCGUGAUCCGGGUUGCGGACAGUGUCUGGUGGGUAGUUUGACUGGGGCGGUCUCCUCCUAAAGAGUAACGGAGGAGCACGAAGGUUGGCUAAUCCUGGUCGGACAUCAGGAGGUUAGUGCAAUGGCAUAAGCCAGCUUGACUGCGAGCGUGACGGCGCGAGCAGGUGCGAAAGCAGGUCAUAGUGAUCCGGUGGUUCUGAAUGGAAGGGCCAUCGCUCAACGGAUAAAAGGUACUCCGGGGAUAACAGGCUGAUACCGCCCAAGAGUUCAUAUCGACGGCGGUGUUUGGCACCUCGAUGUCGGCUCAUCACAUCCUGGGGCUGAAGUAGGUCCCAAGGGUAUGGCUGUUCGCCAUUUAAAGUGGUACGCGAGCUGGGUUUAGAACGUCGUGAGACAGUUCGGUCCCUAUCUGCCGUGGGCGCUGGAGAACUGAGGGGGGCUGCUCCUAGUACGAGAGGACCGGAGUGGACGCAUCACUGGUGUUCGGGUUGUCAUGCCAAUGGCACUGCCCGGUAGCUAAAUGCGGAAGAGAUAAGUGCUGAAAGCAUCUAAGCACGAAACUUGCCCCGAGAUGAGUUCUCCCUGACCCUUUAAGGGUCCUGAAGGAACGUUGAAGACGACGACGUUGAUAGGCCGGGUGUGUAAGCGCAGCGAUGCGUUGAGCUAACCGGUACUAAUGAACCGUGAGGCUUAACCUUACAACGCCGAAG
This 2926-nucleotide ribosomal RNA is filed under the name Shigella sonnei. RNAcentral's name for it is "23S ribosomal RNA". It matches the Rfam family "Bacterial large subunit ribosomal RNA". Lineage: Bacteria; Pseudomonadati; Pseudomonadota; Gammaproteobacteria; Enterobacterales; Enterobacteriaceae. The record is from RNAcentral.